Non-coding RNA from Podarcis lilfordi (Lilford's wall lizard), 4699 nucleotides. The record is from the annotation of a GenBank genome assembly. NCBI's taxonomy places the organism in Eukaryota, Metazoa, Chordata, Lepidosauria, Squamata, Lacertidae.
GCCGAGGAAUAGCUGAGGUCAGCAGCACGCUCCAGCCUCGCCCCUCCUUCCUCCCGUCUUUAUAUGGGACGCAGGCUGCGGGGAGUGGGGUUGGAGCGGGGGGGCGAUCAGGUGGAUUAAUCCAUCAACGGUCCCCCCGGACCGUCAGCACGUGAGCAAAGAACAGGCCGGGCUAAAGGAUGGGGGCGUUGUGUGUUGGGGGGGGGAGUUGGGGGGAUAUUGCGAGAGGCAAGGCAAGGGUGGGAGGAGGGGAGGGGGCAGGGGAGGGAGAAAGUGAGAGGAGGGUGAAGCAGACAAGGGGACCGGGUUGGCAGUGCGGUGGGGGGGGGGGGAGGAAGAAAGAGAGAGAGAGAGAGAGGAGGGAGGGAGCACAGUAUUCCAUUGCCCAUCUGGUUAACACUGCGACACACACACACACGUCUAGAGUCCAAGGUUUGAGCCUAUAAACACCUUUUCCAUAUUAUUCGGCUCUCCCACCCCCGCGCCAGCAUAUAACCCACGCGGCGACGGCCAAUUUCAGCUCCGGGAGAAAUUCGCAGGCAAAGUCUGUACCCAAGAUGAGGAGAGAGGCCGGCGCUCUGAAAUCUGUUGUAAAAUCAGUGCAAGAUAACUUUUUUCUUCCCCUUCUGCACCCCAGAAAAUAAAAUGGAAUGCUGGUUGCCAGAGGGAUGGAGGCAAAAAUAGGUACCUAUCGAUCCCUAUCGCUCCCUCCACUGCAUCCGUCCCUUUCUCCCACCACUGAGCAAAGCUCCAGAACAGGCCGGCAUUUUCUACUCCUUUUGGGAACACUCUUCCUCCCCUCCCCCCCCGCGCAACGUUUCCUAACACAGCUACCCAAAUUCCUCGCCAUGCAGGGAAUUCCUCCGCCCCCCUCGUCGUUUCCCCUCCCCUUCCUCCUCCAAAUCGACCCCCUCCCCUCGAGCAAAACUGCUCCUUCGACAGUCGUUUCUCUCCACCCGGAGGGUUGAUUAACUCUUGCCUCCCCUCCCCUUCCUCGUGUCCAGCCAAAGGCAGAACAAUAGGGACACGUGUCUGAGGAAGAAGAGGAGGGGAGAGGGGGGUGGGGAGGGGGGGGAAAGAUUCUCUCUCUCUCUCUCUCCCCCCCCAUCCCUCUCUUCACCACCAUCCACGGUUUCUUUGUCUCGGUGCAAACCCAGGGUGGUUUAAGACCCAGCAAAUUAUGAUUGUUAUUGAGCCUGGAUUCAAGGGCGGUGAGAAACCCUGAUUUCCCAGUUCAACAAAAGGUGGAGUACUUUGACCUUUGGAAAAGCGAGAAUGGAGAAGGAGAAGAGUCAGUUUAUUCCUUUUAUCUAGAGCCAGCUGAAGUUAUUUCGCUGCUUGAGACGAGAAGGAGAAAACAAAACCCGCAAUGGUGCCACCACCUUCCAAAAUAACGCGAGGCACACAACCCGUGGAGGUAAUUCUCCCCCACAAGCUCCAGUGCACAGCUCCUGGUUACUUUUCAACAGGAGACGUUUGCAGCGGAUUGAACCCCAGACAGAGCCGGAUUCAGGGCAGUGCGAAUGGUUCAGUCGCACGGCAAGCAGGGUGUGUGUAGGCCGAAUUCUGGCAUCGCACAGGGCGCCACUGAAAUCUGAGACCCCUGAGGGUCCACACCUCCAACUUGGUCUUCUGUUCCAUAGCCCUUGAUCACACCCCUAAUCAUCCAGCUGCCCCUUGUCUGUUUGUGAAGCUGCCUGUGUCUUCAUUUGACCCCAGAAAAAGGCAGUGGUCAUGGGAGGACAGCACAGACCCCAGCUUGUUCAAGGUGCAUUGCAAACCUCUCUCUCUCUCUCUCUCUCUCUCUCUCUCUCUUUCUCUUUCUCUCUCUCUCUCUCUGUGUGUGUGUGUGUUCUGCACAGACUCUUCUUGACUUUGACCAUUUCCAGUUCCUUCGGGGUAUAAAUCAGGGCCUGUUCCUUACUCUGUGCCAUCAGGCCAGGACAGCCACUAAAAAGUCCACCAGGCGUUUGACGGAUGGUGUUUCUUUGCCUGUUGCCAAUGCCUGUCAGCUUGGGCCUAGCAGCCUGUUGAAAUGGCUCCCUCUCAAAUCCACAAAGCGUUGCCAGCCUGGGGAUGAAAUGAAUCCUGUCCUCCGUGUCCUUGGAUAAUUCAUUUUAUCGCAACCAUUGUUUGUUUAGCCUGUGGCCUAACUACUGCACCAGGAAGGCUACAGAUUGCAAAGUUUCCCUGCAGCUUUCAGAGCAGAAACUAAUGCACCGUCCUUAAUCUAGGAAGCAGCUGCGGCAGACCUGUGACAUUACAGAUGUUGCCAUAUCCCAGAUGUUCACAUUAUCCCAGACUAUUGCCCAUUCUGACUGGGGCUCAGGGAUGGACAAAUCUUUCCAAUUCGGUUUCUUAAAGUUUCUCAUUUUGGAAAUAGUUCAGUUCUCCACAUUUAUGUAACUGCAAAGAGUCCCUAUGAAAACCUGUCAGCAUUUUUGCGCAAAUUUCUCCUAAUAUUUGCAUAUUUACCUGCUAUACACAUUUUGCAAACUAAUAAUAGUAGUAGUACGCUAUUACUUUUAUUUGCAUUUUAAUGCCUGCUUUUUUGGAGCAUAUGCACUUUUCUACACAUUAUUUGGUUGGAAUGCUUUGCUGCGAAAUUUGGAGAAGUGUGACUUUUGGAUACCUGUGUUUUAUUUCAUGCAUUGUUGAGAGCUGUAGCUAUUGGGGUGGGGGUGGGGGGCUGGCUACAUUUUUUUUUGUUCUGGGUGAAGCCUCCAAAGGGGCUCCAUUGAGGCUCCCAGCCUGUGUUUGUACACAGCAACGUUUCUUUGACCCGGGUGAAAAUGAGCCUUGUUUCAUUCCGCAUUGUUUCAGGAACUGUGAAUCAUGUAAGGUAAAGGUAAAGGGACCCCUGAUCAUUAGGUCCAGUCGUGGCCGACUCUGGGGUUGCGGCGCUCAUCUCGCUUUAUUGGCUGAGGGAGCCGGCGUACAGCUUCCGGGUCAUGUGGCCAGCAUGACAAAGCCGCUUCUGGCGAACCAGAGCAGCGCACGGAAACGCCGUUUACCUUCCCGCCAGAGCGGUACCUAUUUAUCUGCUUGCACUUUGACGUGCUUUCAAACUGCUAGGUUGGCAGGAGCAGGGACCGAGCAACGGGAGCUCACCUCAUCGCGGGGAUUCGAACCGCCAACCUUCUGAUUAGCAAGUCCUAGGCUCUGUGGUUUAACCCACAGCGCUACCCGCGUCCCGCAUGAAUCAUGUAGGCUUGCAUUAAAAUGUGAACAGUGUCAAAUUUCUCCUCUCAUCCCUACUGGGGGCUGAUGGGAUUUGGAGUCCCACAACCUGCCCUGUGCAGUUUUUCUUUUAAAAUGAAAUUUCAAAAAAAAAACAAAAAAACAACCCUUGAAAUAAAAUUUAUUUUGAAAUUGGUAUUUCAAUGAUAUACAUAUUGUAUAUAAACACAGAAUGGAAAUUAAAUAUAACAAUAAAUAAAAAGUAAACAAUAGCCUGCGCCCCUCCACCCUGGGCCACAAGCCAGGUAAAUGAUCGUAUCACUGCUGCCUGUUUGAUGCAUUUUGUGUGUUGCUCUUGCAGGGAUGAUUCUUCAACAUCAACUUUGUUGGACUAGUCAAGUUGUUCGGAUGCUUGAUUAUUGUCUUCCAAAGCAACUACUCUAUUCCAAACUUAAAAAUGGAAAGCGUAAUGCUGGUGGUCAACAAAAGAGGUUCAAAGACUCAAGGCAAAUCUUUAAAAAAUGUAGUAUAAACGCCGACAACUAGGAAACACUGACCUGCGAGUGCUCCAGUUGGAAAACAGCUUUUACCAAAGGUGUCGUAGACUCUGAAAAAGCAGGAAUUCAGGGUGAAAAGGAGACACGUGCUAAGAGGAAGCCAUGCUUGGCAAAUCCACGCUGAGAUCAACUCCCACCUGGAAAGCAAUGUCCCCACUGUGGAAGGACGUGUGGAUCCAGAAUUGGCCUCCAUAGUCACAGACUCAUUGUUAAAACCGUGUUUAUGGAAGGCAAUCUUACUCGGCUACGAGGGAUCGCCAAAGAAGAUGACGACUUUGGUAUCUGACCCCACUCCCCACCAGCAUGGGGCCCCUGGAUGUGGCCCCACAGGCUGAAAAAGACCCCUGAUGCAAGCUGAUGGCCCUGUAUGUUGUUGCUGUUGAUGCCAGUGCCGGUGUCACACCCUAGAAAACAGGAAGAUGGAAAGGAGACCAGACAAAGCCCAGAUGGCCACCGCUUCUGGACACACAACCAGAGUUUUUGACCUCUCCAUCCAAAAGAAGCUUGUAAUUGCAACUUCUCUUUCUUUCUCUUAUGCUUCAACCUGCCCAAGAUGGGUUGGCCUCUAUGUUUAUUGUAUUCAUAUCCCCCCUUCUCCCUUCCCAGGAGCUCAAGGAGGUGUACGUGGUUCUCCCUGCUUCUCAUUUAAUGCCCACAACAACCCCGUGAGGUAGGUUAGACUGAGAGACAAUGACUGGCACAAGGUCAGCCAGAGAACUUCAUCGCCAAGGGAGAAUUCGAACUCUGCCCUUGUCUGCCCAAGUCUGAAACUCUAACCAUUGCAUCCCACUGGCUUUCUGUAUCUGUUUCCCCUUCCUCAAUACAGCCCCGUACUCUUAACUCCUUCACCACCCCCACUUUUUUUUUAAACCCUCACCAACCUCACAUUGGGGGCUAUCACAUUCAGUUGAGGAAAAUUAUUUCCAUACAGCUGCCCAGAAAGCCACGAAUUUUAAGAUCAU